Myotis brandtii (Brandt's bat) is the source of this 76-nucleotide non-coding RNA. Lineage: Eukaryota; Metazoa; Chordata; Mammalia; Chiroptera; Vespertilionidae. The record is from Rfam.
GAGACACCCUUCUGGGGCAAGACUUGCUUCAGUGGGGCUUUGGUGCUCACUGAGUCUGCCCCCUGAGAGUGUCCCU